UACGGGGGGGGCAAGCGUUGUUCGGAAUUACUGGGCGUAAAGGGCUCGUAGGCGGCCAACUAAGUCGGACGUGAAAUCCCUCGGCUUAACCGGGGAACUGCGUCCGAUACUGGAUGGCUUGAGUGUGGGAGAGGGAUGCGGAAUUCCAGGUGUAGCGGUGAAAUGCGUAGAUAUCUGGAGGAACACCGGUGGCGAAGGCGGCAUCCUGGACCACGACUGGCGCUGAGUGAGCGAAAGCCAGGGGAGCAAACAGG
Molecule: ribosomal RNA, 254 nt
Filed under: uncultured bacterium
Lineage: Bacteria
Description: partial 16S ribosomal RNA
Rfam family: Bacterial small subunit ribosomal RNA
Source: RNAcentral